This 454-nucleotide ribosomal RNA is filed under the name uncultured bacterium. Its description in RNAcentral is "partial 16S ribosomal RNA". It matches the Rfam family "Bacterial small subunit ribosomal RNA", at positions 28 to 507 of the family's 1533-position model. The record is from RNAcentral.
GAUGAACGCUGACAGAAUGCUUAACACAUGCAAGUCUACUUGAACUUCGGUUUGGGUGGCGGACGGGUGAGUAACGCGUAAAGAACUUGCCUCACAGAUAGGGACAACAUUUGGAAACGAAUGCUAAUACCUGAUAUUAUGAUUUUAGGGCAUCCUAGAAUUAUGAAAGCUAUAUGCACUGUGAGAGAGCUUUGCGUCCCAUUAGCUAGUUGGAGAGGUAACGGCUCACCAAGGCGAUGAUGGGUAGCCGGCCUGAGAGGGUGAUCGGCCACAAGGGGACUGAGACACGGCCCUUACUCCUACGGGAGGCAGCAGUGGGGAAUAUUGGACAAUGGACCAAGAGUCUGAUCCAGCAAUUCUGUGUGCACGAUGAAGUUUUUCGGAAUGUAAAGUGCUUUCAGUUGGGAAGAAAAAAAUGGCGGUACCAACAGAAGAAGUGACGGCUAAAUACGUG